AUUGAACGCUGGCGGCAGGCCUAACACAUGCAAGUCGAACGGUAACAGGAAGCAGCUUGCUGCUUUGCUGACGAGUGGCGGACGGGUGAGUAAUGUCUGGGAAACUGCCCGAUGGAGGGGGAUAACUACUGGAAACGGUAGCUAAUACCGCAUAACGUCGCAAGACCAAAGAGGGGGACCUUAGGGCCUCUUGCCAUCGGAUGUGCCCAGAUGGGAUUAGCUAGUAGGUGGGGUAACGGCUCACCUAGGCGACGAUCCCUAGCUGGUCUGAGAGGAUGACCAGCCACACUGGAACUGAGACACGGUCCAGACUCCUACGGGAGGCAGCAGUGGGGAAUAUUGCACAAUGGGCGCAAGCCUGAUGCAGCCAUGCCGCGUGUAUGAAGAAGGCCUUCGGGUUGUGAAGUACUUUCAGCGGGGAGGAAGGGAGUAAAGUUAAUACCUUUGCUCAUUGACGUUACCCGCAGAAGAAGCACCGGCUAACUCCGUG
RNAcentral lists this ribosomal RNA (490 nucleotides) under uncultured bacterium. RNAcentral's name for it is "partial 16S ribosomal RNA". It matches the Rfam family "Bacterial small subunit ribosomal RNA", at positions 30 to 507 of the family's 1533-position model. The record is from RNAcentral.